CGGGCAGUAGAUCAAUGUUAGGGCUCCCGCUUCGUAUGCGGGAAGACCUGGGUUCGAUUCUCGGCUGCUUCC
Toxocara canis (dog roundworm) is the source of this 72-nucleotide transfer RNA. It matches the Rfam family "tRNA". From Rfam's summary of the family: Transfer RNA (tRNA) molecules are approximately 80 nucleotides in length. Their secondary structure includes four short double-helical elements and three loops (D, anti-codon, and T loops). The record is from Rfam. NCBI's taxonomy places the organism in Eukaryota, Metazoa, Nematoda, Chromadorea, Rhabditida, Toxocaridae.